CUAAGGUACCGUGGCGAAGUGCACGAUGCCAUGAGUUCGUAGACUGGUAGCACGUCGAAAACGGAGCUACGGUUUGAAAGUUAUGGACGAAACAAGUUGCGGUCCAAAUUGUCCAAGGGGUGCCGGAGUUGACUUUUUAUUCAUGCAAGGUUGAGCGUUGACUCAUGCAUGGUUGUGAAGUGCUCAUCGAUACGAGUCUGUAGACUAGCGGUACGUCCGAUUUGGACAUGUGGUUUGAAAGUUAUGGAUCUGUAAAGUUUUUCAAAUACCGUAUUAUUUUAAUAUUAUUUUUACACACAUAACGAUGUGGCACGUGUGACUCAAUGAAGGUGGCCAUGUGUCACCAUGAUGAAAAGCCACAUGUCAACCAUGUUUAAAAAUCAAAUUAUUUUUAUUAUUAUUUUAAAUAAUAAUAUUUUUUUUUAUUUAAUUAUUAUUAUUUUUCCUUUUUCCUUUUUCUUUUUCUUUUCCUUUUUCUUUUCUUUUUCUUUUUCUUUUUCUUUUCUUUUCCCCACGUGGGAAAACACCAAUCCUUUCUUUUUCUUUUUCUUUUUCUUUUUUUUUCUUUUUUCCUUCUUCUUCCCCGAAAUACACACACACACGCAGCUUUUCUUUCUUCUCUCCCGACCGUCCCUCUCUCUCCCGUGUUUUUGAAUUCCGGCCACCCAUAGCCCUCACGCGCCAGCCACCAAGGAAGCCCGCCACCUCGCGAGCUUGGCCGCCAAGUUUCACGGCCAGCCGCCGCCGGACGCGCGCCGAUCGGGCCGGAGAAGCCGCCGGCCGGCCAAGUUUCUCUCUCCUCUUUUCUUGUGUUUUCCGGCCAGCCCACUCCCAAUUGAGCCUCCUAUCCCCCUAUUUUGGGUCCUCUGAAUCCAAAAAUGGCCUCCAAUCUCAAAAAUUCGAAGCGGUUUGCGAGAUAUGGAGAAGUGAACACCGGCCGAACCUUUCCGGCCAAAUUCCGGCCACCCCCGGCGGAAUUGGGGUCGACGGAGACCGGAUUGGUGAUCCUCGUUCCACGAGCUUCGAUUCGGAACACUGGUGAGUCGUAGAAUUGAUCCCGUAGUGGAUCAUGGGUUAAUUGCGUGCUCCAGGUUCCAGGUUGUCGGUGUUCAUUCGGAUCGGACUUGAUCUUCCUCGCUGUUUUACUUCGUGAAGUACCCUGUUCUUCUUUAUUGCGGUUGUACUAUUUCUUUCAUUCUUGUUGUAUUUAUUUUGCACUGGAUUACUGUAUUUUUGUUUUGAAGUGCUGGAAUUUGUGGAACCAAUUUGUAGUUUGUGGGAGGAAUAAGGGGAUAUUUUUGAAGUGUGUUUUCAGUGCAGGUAAAUUUGUGGUAAGUAAAUCCCUUAGGGGAGGUGCUGCCGGAUUUUCCGUUGGAAGGUUCGGUGGUAUUUUCCUGGGAUCAGGGCUGUCUAGGGUUCCGGAGGAGGAAUUCUGGACGGGUCCUGACAAU
Long non-coding RNA from Ziziphus jujuba (common jujube), 1451 nucleotides. RefSeq lists it as uncharacterized. NCBI's taxonomy places the organism in Eukaryota, Viridiplantae, Streptophyta, Magnoliopsida, Rosales, Rhamnaceae. The transcript has 3 exons. The record is from RefSeq and is a predicted model, not a curated record.